This 744-nucleotide ribosomal RNA is filed under the name Corynebacterium stationis. RNAcentral's name for it is "bacterial SSU rRNA". It matches the Rfam family "Bacterial small subunit ribosomal RNA", at positions 464 to 1207 of the family's 1533-position model. The record is from RNAcentral. Lineage: Bacteria; Bacillati; Actinomycetota; Actinomycetes; Mycobacteriales; Corynebacteriaceae.
UUGUGGUGACGGUAGGUAGAUAAGAAGCACCGGCUAACUACGUGCCAGCAGCCGCGGUAAUACGUAGGGUGCAAGCGUUGUCCGGAAUUACUGGGCGUAAAGAGCUCGUAGGUGGUUUGUCGCGUCGUCUGUGAAAUCCCGGGGCUUAACUUCGGGCGUGCAGGCGAUACGGGCAUAACUUGAGUGCUGUAGGGGAGACUGGAAUUCCUGGUGUAGCGGUGAAAUGCGCAGAUAUCAGGAGGAACACCGAUGGCGAAGGCAGGUCUCUGGGCAGUUACUGACGCUGAGGAGCGAAAGCAUGGGUAGCGAACAGGAUUAGAUACCCUGGUAGUCCAUGCCGUAAACGGUGGGCGCUAGGUGUAGGGGGCUUCCACGUCUUCUGUGCCGUGGCUAACGCAUUAAGCGCCCCGCCUGGGGAGUACGGCCGCAAGGCUAAAACUCAAAGGAAUUGACGGGGGCCCGCACAAGCGGCGGAGCAUGUGGAUUAAUUCGAUGCAACGCGAAGAACCUUACCUGGGCUUGACAUAUACAGGAUCGGGCUAGAGAUAGUCUUUCCCUUGUGGUCUGUAUACAGGUGGUGCAUGGUUGUCGUCAGCUCGUGUCGUGAGAUGUUGGGUUAAGUCCCGCAACGAGCGCAACCCUUGUCUUAUGUUGCCAGCACGUUAUGGUGGGAACUCAUGAGAGACUGCCGGGGUUAACUCGGAGGAAGGUGGGGAUGACGUCAAAUCAUCAUGCCCCUUAUGU